GGCCCGGGAGGUGGGGCCGGUUAGGGCGAGGGUCCCCGGGAUCGUAGUGUCAGGCCUUGGGCCAACGUAGGCACUCGCAGUUCCUCCGCCUUCAGGAAGGUCUUUUUGGCAGGGGCCUUACGGGUGCGCGCUUCGGUCCUGGAGGCGUUAUCCUAGCCUCCUCUCCAUCAGCGCCACCCGUCUGGGGCCCGAUAGGAGGGAGCUUUCUGUCUGUCCCCCAGCCUUUGGACUGUCACCAAACAAGCCAUCCGUUCACCAAAUACUUAUUAAGCGCCUACCAUGUGUCUGGCAAGGGAGGUGUAACAGUGAGAAAAACUAGGUGUGGUCCAGGCCCUCCAGGGGCUCAGGGGCUCGUGGAAGAAGUGGACAUUGAAGUACUUACCACACAAAUGAGCAUGAAAGUACAAUAGCAAUAUCUGCCACGAAGGCGAGCAGACAGAGCUAGCAGGGCUUCCAGGAGGAGUUUUGAUCUUGCAGGGACAGGAAGGAGGAGUUAGCUCCUGGGGGGCGGGAUUGGGGGUGGUGGUGAUAUAGACGUGGGGACAGAGUGGAAAACAACAAAAAUAUAAUUAUUUUAGUUCAAAGUUAUUGUGUCUUGAGUUGAAAGGCAGGGCAGUUAGCGACACGGUUCAGAUUUCAGUACUGCCCCUGAAAUCUGAAUUGUGUUCAAAGUCUAAAACGUUUACCUUAGCAAAUCCCUCAUAAAACUCCAUUUGGAAGAGUCCCGAGAGCUAAUUUGUUAAGUAUACUUGCAGAAGGUAGAUGAGGAGACAGAUUAAAUCUUAUUACCUCUUUCAGAUGAGAGGCACUUGAGCCCUGCUCAGCCGUGAGAAUAAGAGGGGGAAUUAAUUCUAAUUGAAUACACUUGUUCUCUCACAGCUGUUGUUCCCCACCAGAACCAAAUGAGCGCAAGAUCUGACAAAGAAAAAAAAAGGUUCAUCUUUUAUUCCGCCAAACACUUUCAUCUAAAUCAAGAGGGUGGGAUGUGGUUAUUGCUGUGUUUUUAGACAGAAUCAACAGUUUCUGGGUCUGAGAUAUUGCAUACACCCUCUCAGUCCCUGUAUCCUCAGAUGGAGUCACCUGAGAAUCCACAGCAAGUCCUAACCGGGGAUGGGUCUGGGUGGUUAAGGAAGGUUGGCCUCAGAACUGGGCCAGGGGCACUGCUUUGCUUUUGCUGUUUUGAUCAGCUCUCUGCCCGCAGGAGACAAGGAAAACCAAUGGGAACAGGUCUAGCUGGAGUACAGUGAUGCAGUCAUAGCCCACUGCAGCCUCAAAAUUCCUGGGCUCAAGCAAUCCACCCACAUCAGCUUCCCAAGUAGUUGGGACUACAGGCCCACACUACUAUACCCAGACCAACAGAUAUUCUAGCAUAUAAGAAAUGUGAUGCUCUCUGUACAUUGAAGAGUUGGUCUAAUAUUUGGCCUGGUGGAUACAGAAAUUGCCUGUCUGCUCCGCUCUGGUUGAAGAAACCAGUCCGACUGUCUCUGAGGCUAUGGAGCAGUCCAUCAAGAAUGAAAGCCCUCGGCUGGCACGUUGGCUCACACCUGUAAUACCAGCGCUUUGGGAGGCUGAGGCAGGUGGAUCACUUGAAGUCACGAAUUCGACACCAGCAUGGCCAACAUGGUGAAACCCUCUCUCUACAGAAAAUAGAAAAAUUAGCUGGGCCUAGUGACGUGUGCCUGUAAUCCCAGCUACUCAGGAGGCUGAGGCAGGAGAAUCACUUGAUCCUGGGAGGCAGAGCUUGCAGUGGGGAGCUGAGAUCACACCACUGCCUUCCAGCCUGGGCGACAGAGUGAGACUCUCUCAAAAAAAAAAAAAAAAAAAAAAAAAAGAAAGUCCUCAUGAUGGCCUCAAGCACAUUGGUCCCUGAAGAGAGUCAAGGAAGGCCCACUUUACUCUGCACUGCAAAGCAGGCAGGUGGACAGGAUGAGAAGUGGAUUCAGUGAGAGGCAUUGACUCAAAGGAUUUUCUGCCUAAUGGUCGGUUCAGCAGAAGAUUAAACUGAGCACAGCAUCCUGUUCCCUCAAACUAUCUGAUAGGAUCUCUCUCUCUCUGCCACCCAGGCCAGAGCGCAGUUGAUGCAGGUCAGGGGAGCCCCCCAGUGGAGCAUAGUGUGUCCAGAACUGGUGGGUUGUUGGUCUCACUGACUUCAAGAAUGAAGCCACGGACCCUCGGGGUGAGCGUCACAGUUCUUAAAGGCGGUGCGUCCGG
RNAcentral lists this long non-coding RNA (2211 nucleotides) under Homo sapiens (human). Its description in RNAcentral is "HSALNT0314301". Lineage: Eukaryota; Metazoa; Chordata; Mammalia; Primates; Hominidae. The record is from RNAcentral.